This is a long non-coding RNA of Neopelma chrysocephalum (saffron-crested tyrant-manakin), 186 nucleotides long. RefSeq lists it as uncharacterized. The transcript is spliced from 3 exons. NCBI's taxonomy places the organism in Eukaryota, Metazoa, Chordata, Aves, Passeriformes, Pipridae. The record is from RefSeq and is a predicted model, not a curated record.
GGUCUACUCUGAGGAGGGGGCUGAGGACAGGACAUUUGCCCGGGUUAUUGUUGGCAGCUCCUCGGAGUACAAGAUCAACAACCGGGUGGUGCAGCUGAGCGAGUACAGCGAGGAGCUGGAGAAGUUGGGGAUCCUCAUCAAGGCCCGAAACUUCCUCGUCUUCCAGGGAGCCGUGGAGUCCAUGGC